Molecule: ribosomal RNA, 492 nt
Filed under: uncultured bacterium
Lineage: Bacteria
Description: bacterial SSU rRNA
Rfam family: Bacterial small subunit ribosomal RNA
Source: RNAcentral
CCUCUAAUUGAACGCUGGCGGAAUGCUUUACACAUGCAAGUCGAACGGCAGCAUAGGUGCUUGCACCUGAUGGCGAGUGGCGAACGGGUGAGUAAUACAUCGGAACGUGCCCAGUCGUGGGGGAUAACGUAGCGAAAGUUACGCUAAUACCGCAUACGAUCUAUGGAUGAAAGCGGGGGACCGUAAGGCCUCGCGCGAUUGGAGCGGCCGAUGUUAGAUUAGGUAGUUGGUGGGGUAAAGGCUCACCAAGCCGACGAUCUAUAGCUGGUCUGAGAGGAUGAUCAGCCACACUGGGACUGAGACACGGCCCAGACUCCUACGGGAGGCAGCAGUGGGGAAUUUUGGACAAUGGGCGCAAGCCUGAUCCAGCCAUUCCGCGUGCAGGACGAAGGCCUUCGGGUUGUAAACUGCUUUUGUACAGAACGAAAAGCUCUGAGUUAAUACCUCGGGGUCAUGACGGUACUGUAAGAAUAAGCACCGGCUAACUACGUG